Molecule: small RNA, 128 nt
Filed under: Marmota monax (woodchuck)
Lineage: Eukaryota; Metazoa; Chordata; Mammalia; Rodentia; Sciuridae
Source: RNAcentral
GCUGGGCAUGGUGGCGCACACCUGUAAUCCCAGAAGCUUGGGAGGCAGAGGCAGGAGGAUUGCAAGUUGGAGGCCGGCCUCAGCAACUUAGCAAGGCCAUUAAGCAACUCAGUAAGGCCUUGUCUCUA